Molecule: ribosomal RNA, 789 nt
Filed under: uncultured archaeon
Lineage: Archaea
Description: bacterial SSU rRNA
Rfam family: Archaeal small subunit ribosomal RNA
Source: RNAcentral
CCAUGCGAGUCGAGAGGGUUCGGCCCUCGGCGGACUGCUCAGUAACACGUGGAUAAUCUGCCCUUAGGUGGAGCAUAACCUCGGGAAACUGAGAAUAAUACUCCAUAGGUCUAGAAUGCUGGAAUGCAUCUAGACUCAAAGAUUUAUCGCCUAAGGAUGAGUCUGCGGACUAUCAGGUUGUAGUCAGGGUAAUGGCCUGACUAGCCUACGACGGAUACGGGUUGUGAGAGCAAUAACCCGGAGACGAUAUCUGAGACACGAUAUCGGGCCCUACGGGGCGCAGCAGGCGCGAAACCUUCACACUGUGCGAAAGCGCGAUGAGGGGAUCCCAAGUGCUUGCUCUUAGGAGUAAGCUGUUUUCCUGUUUAAAUCGCAGGAAGAGGAAGGGCUGGGUAAGACGGGUGCCAGCCGCCGCGGUAAUACCUGCAGCUCAAGUGGUGGCCGCUAUUAUUGGGCCUAAAACGUUCGUAGCCGGUUUGGUAAAUGCCUGGGUAAAUCGAGCCGCUUAACGGUUCGAAUUCCGGGUAGACUGCCAGACUUGAGACCGGGAGAGGCUAGAGGUACUCCUGGGGUAGAGGUGAAAUUCUGUAAUCCUGGGGGGACCACCAGUGGCGAAGGCGUCUAGCUAGAACGGGUCUGACGGUGAGGGACGAAGCCCUGGGGCGCAAACCGGAUUAGAUACCCGGGUAGUCCAGGGUGUAAACGCUGCUUGCUUGAUGUUAGUCGGGCUCUGAGCCCGAUUAGUGUCGGAGAGAAGUUGUUAAGCAAGCUGCCUGGGAAGUACGGUCG